UUGAACGCUGGCGGCAUGCCUUACACAUGCAAGUCGAACGGUAGAGGGGCAACCCUUGAGAGUGGCGAACGGGUGAGUAAUGCAUCGGAACGUGCCCAGUCGUGGGGGAUAACGCAGCGAAAGCUGUGCUAAUACCGCAUGUGAUCUGUGGAUGAAAGCAGGGGACCGCAAGGCCUUGCGCGAUUGGAGCGGCCGAUGUCAGAUUAGCUAGUUGGUAGGGUAAAAGCCUACCAAGGCGACGAUCUG
Molecule: ribosomal RNA, 246 nt
Filed under: uncultured bacterium
Lineage: Bacteria
Description: partial 16S ribosomal RNA
Rfam family: Bacterial small subunit ribosomal RNA
Source: RNAcentral